Triticum aestivum (bread wheat) is the source of this 4230-nucleotide long non-coding RNA. RefSeq lists it as uncharacterized. Lineage: Eukaryota; Viridiplantae; Streptophyta; Magnoliopsida; Poales; Poaceae. The record is from RefSeq and is a predicted model, not a curated record. The transcript has 6 exons.
GGCGUCUUCACGGGAGAUUGGAUCUGAGCUCUCGUCCGUGGUUCCUCUGUGCUGCCGACGUCAUGACGGCGUCAACACGGCGAACCACACCCGAGUUAGCUGCACGGCGUCAGGUCCCGAUCUCCUCCCUUCCUGGAACCUCCGCUCCUCGAUCUCGCCCUCCUCCCUCUCCUCUGCGCCCGCCGACGUGGGCCGCGUCUCCGUGUCCUCGGCCAUACCGGCGGCAGCAGCGAUGCGGUCUGGCGUCGGCGCCGACGGAGUUCCCGUCUCAUCCCCUUGCCCAUUAAUCUCGUGUCUGGACCAAGCACGACACCACCUCGGUGUUGCACGCCGCGACAAUGCCCGCCCGGGCUCAAACCCCCCUCCCCCACGAGCUCUUCCUCGACGUGCCGCUCUUUUCGUCCCUUCUCUCCUCCGCUCGCCGCUUGGUCGUAGAACUGGUCAGGGCAGGGGACAACAUGGCCGCCGCCAAGCAGCAGCCGCCGCUAUACAUUGCCGUCGCCGACGACCGCCAGAGGAGCACCUUCCCCUGCAUGCGCCCCAUCCUGCAGAGCGCGCUCCAGCUCAUGGGCUGCAAGCCACGCCACACCUUCAAGGUCUGUCUUCCCCCAUCUUGCUUGUCCCACAAUCUGUCAGCUCACUUCUUUUCCCUUGGGUUCAGUCUGAAUCUUUAGAUUAGACUCAGUAUCCUACCAUCUCUGCCGCAUCCCUGAACCUCCAUAGCAAGCGAUGUAGAUCAGUUUUUUUUGGUAUUCCAUACUCCUCAUAUCCUACUUCAAUUGGCUGAUGGGAUCAGUCUCAUAGUGUUUUUCGUUACAAUUAGCGAGCGCUGUACAUCUACCUCGUAUCCUGCUUCAAUUGGCUGAACCUACAGAGUGUAUUUAAUUAGUAUGAUGUUCACAGCAGGGGUGGAGCUACUAGGAGCCUCUGAUGCAUAGGCAUCAGGGUCGAUGUUGAUUUCUUCAAGCGAUUGUGUAGAGUUGUUUGGCCGUGCACCAGGUUAGGCUGACAGCGCUGCAUCAGGUACAGAGACAAUCCCAUGGCGGCCUUGUUCGGAACUGGUUCAUGGGUAGGCCAGGUCUUGUUCAGACGUGGCCAGGCCUUGGCGUAGCCUUGUGGGCUGUAGCCUUUUGGGUACGUUUGGUGUGGCUGGGCAUCAAGGCGUCAAUGCCCUUAGGUGUUGUAGGGUCACGCCGACACGCGAUCACUCGACGAACCACAUCGGAUGGGCGACGCUGCGCUAGGCUCGGUCUUUACACCUAGCAUCAUCCAUGCUAAUCCGAUCAGUCACUGACCUCAGCUCUAGCUCAAAGGUAGAGUAUGACAUAUAGAUGUAGUAAAUCUUAAAUCUCGGGUUAACCAUUGCAAAAAUUGUGCUUUUAGGCGGUAUCUUCUUAGAUUUUUUUUUAGUUCUACUAGCAUAAAUGCCCGUGCGUUGCAACGGGAGAAACAAACUCUCGCACACCCUAGCGAGCAAUCCAUGUUGUCACUUCUCCUCUUUGGCAUCAUUGUCGAUGGUGGUCACUUGUGUAACUAUUUACGAAAAAGGUUAUCAAUCCCUAUGCGGUGAGCUAGGUCAUUACACUCUACCAUGCCGAUUUCAUGAGUCCCUCCCUAUACUAACUUGCAAUUCUUUGUGCGUAGCAACCGUCACAUUCACUUCAUGUGGUUCAACACCAAUCAUGUCUUUACAUGUCAUGCGGUGCAUUUCCUUGUUUACCACACACAAUAAUAAUUUUAUUGACCACAGACAAUAAUAAUUAUUAGUGUAAAUAAUGUUAAGGUAUGAGGUUAUCAACUUGCCGACCGAACAUAAGCUGCAUACACCUUUUCUUUCUGCUCAUAUUUGUGAGCAAACUGGACCAACUUCUUGAGGCGGCUUAUUAAUUUCAGUUCAUAGACAUAUAUAAAUUGGUCCGUCGAGUUAUAAGAAAGCGAGUUGGGAUAAUUCAAUAACCGAACUAAUUAAUUUCUUUGUGUUAGUUAAUUGCAUGCCAUGUCUGGGUAAUUCCUUUGCGCAAUAUUUUUUAGAAAAAUCUCCUUCCUUAUCUGAUCACGCCCCGGUAGUAUUUCGUCUUAGGAUAUUCUCUUUCCUCAUCUGAUCACGCCACCAUGGUAUUCCUUCCUUUUUCCGAAACUCUCCUUUUCUUCUUUGUACCCACUGGUAUUAUAAUUCCUUAGGGUCAUUAUUAUUCUCUCCUUCCUUAUUUAAGCCCGCUGAUCACGUCACACAUUUAAGAACAAAAAAAAAAGAUCACGUCACACAUCCCAUCCCAUUAAAUCUAAGCCACAUAUGUCAGCCCACCUUUGUUUCGUACUUCUCAAGGCUGCUUACUGAUCUUGAAUCACAAACAAAUAUAAAUUGGGAGUAGAACAUGUAAAGCAGCGAGGUGGUACUAUUUAAUAAGGGAACAAUCCUGGUAUUUCACACAAUGAUGUCCUAGCAUGAUUGGUUGCGUCCUUUGGUCUUGACAUGCAACGUCUGGAGUUCGAUUGCUCGUGAAGACGCUUUUUUUUUGUCUGGGCUGGCUCCAUGUAAUAUUUCUGCCUAGGCCGAUUUUGUUGUUGUUAUGUGCUAGUAGAGUAGGCCCAAUAGCUAAAGCUCCGGCCAAGGCCCAGCGAGGCGAUCCAGAUGCAAAGUUGGAUCGAGACUUCUGUAAUUACCGUGACGGAACGUACGUGAACGUGAAAAUCAACAAAGCGAGCGUACGUGGAAAAAACUUUUAAGCGGGACGAAACCAAGAAUAUCACCUUCCUUUAAUAGUAGGUAUAGAUGUACAAGGGUAUUCUGAAGUUGAGAAUUCAGUUCAUUUACUUGACUUUAUCAAAUGUGGGUAGCCACAAGACUGGAGACGCGAGACUUUGUGUAUAGUCUAAUAAUGUUGCAAUAAGUCGCUCCAUCGUCGUAUUUUCCCUCCUUUUUGCAAUAAUUGUUCAUUCACAUUUUUUCAGAAAUUAUUGCCAAUGUACUAAGUCUUAUUCAGAGAUUGUCAAUAUUGUUGGGCGUGUCCUGCUCUCCCUCUUUUAUAUUUGGUUGUUUGGUCUCACACUGAAGGUGCUAGAUGUAAUGUGGACUCAGGGCCAGAACAGAGAAGAACCAGAGCAGCUAGACUCGGGAACGCAGCCAAAAGAACGCCGAUAACCAUAAGAAACAGAAGACAAAACAUAAAAUUGGAUCAAAAUCUUACUCGCAAGUAAGCUUUGAGAAGAGAAACUUGGAACUCACCCACACGAACGACGGAACAUGGUCUAACACAGAGUCCUAGAAAGUUUGCAACAAAGCACGUCAAGAGGUUCAAAACAAAGAAACUGAAACUGAAGGUCCACUUUCAAGUGAGCAGAAAAACAAUAUUUUCCAGACCGCAUACAAAGAGACUCUGAAAUGCAAGUCAUCGCAGCCUUGUGGGUACGGAUACAUGGCCAAACCUUCAACUGGUUCUCAAAGGUUUCAUAUCCAGGUUGAAGAGCAAGCUCGUGCUACAGCAGCCACCCAACAGCAAAACUCUGAGCUCAGCCAGCAGGUCAACGAAUUACAAGAUCAACUACAAGCUGAACGUGCAAACACACAAGAGAGGAUUAACUUGGAGUGUACUGAGAGAGAACAACUUGAGGAGAGGUUAAAAGAAGGGCAUGCUGAAAGGGAAAGAUUGUUGGAAUAGGAGCGGACAUCAAGACCGGAAUUUGAAAAAAACAUGAUGCCAAAGUUUGUAGCAUUGAGCCAACAGAUGGGAACCCAACAGGUGCCUAAGGAUUGACAAAGAAAAUAGUAACCCAAACUUGCAAAAUACACUUUUAUAGAGAUCUAGUCCUAAUAAGACUCCAGUUCAAGGCCAAUUAUUAUUUCUUCAAAUGCGCUCAUACAAGCUGCAACAAGGAAUUCUCGAAUGUUUAAAGCAAUGGAUCCAAAGAACUAGCUGGCCUGGACUCUAGAUCACGGACGGUUUAGUCUUUGCAAUUAAUUAGGAUGGCUAAAUUAUAUCUGAGUUUCAUUUGAUGGAUAUUUGCUACGAGAAUUAUGAACUUUAUGAAUCUACAUAUUAUACGUAUGGUUUUGAAAUUGUAAUUGAAUGCAUGUAUUUUUUUACGGUUGCAAUAUGCUACAACCCACUUUGGGUUGCCACAAGCACCACCAAAAAAAGUGUUGCGUCAUAUCUCAGUCGAUAUGCCUACUAUUUUGUUGCACUAGGAUGUUGUAACGGAUCACUUCAUAAUGUCUGGCACCACAAAUUU